CCUACGGGUGGCAGCAGUGGGGAAUAUUGCACAAUGGGGGAAACCCUGAUGCAGCGACGCCGCGUGAGUGAAGAAGUAAUUCGUUAUGUAAAGCUCUAUCAGCAGGGAAGAAAAUGACGGUACCUGAGUAAUAAGCCCCGGCUAACUACGUGCCAGCAGCCGCGGUAAUACGAAGGGGGCAAGCGUUAUCCGGAUUUACUGGGUGGAAAGGUAGCGUAGACGGGAGUGCAAGUCUGGGGCGUAAGGUGUGGGCUCAACCCCCGGACUGCUCUGGAAACUGUACGGCUGGAGUGCAAGAGAGGGAAGUGGAAUUCCAAGUGUAGCGGUGAAAUGCGUAGAUAUUAGGAAGAACACCAGAGGCGAAGGCGGCUUACUGGACUGUAACUGACGUUGAGGGUCGAAAGCGUGGGGAGCAAACAGGAUUAGAUACCCUGGUAGUC
Molecule: ribosomal RNA, 440 nt
Filed under: uncultured bacterium
Lineage: Bacteria
Description: partial 16S ribosomal RNA
Rfam family: Bacterial small subunit ribosomal RNA
Source: RNAcentral